Long non-coding RNA from Gekko japonicus, 883 nucleotides. RefSeq lists it as uncharacterized. The record is from RefSeq and is a predicted model, not a curated record. NCBI's taxonomy places the organism in Eukaryota, Metazoa, Chordata, Lepidosauria, Squamata, Gekkonidae. The transcript is spliced from 4 exons.
AUCCCACAGAAGUUGGGGAGGCUGCUCAUGAGCUUCUUGUCGUUCAUCAGCUGCAUCAGGUAUGCUAGACCAGUCGUCUAACAGGACCAUUUCUGGACAAAAAGAUCUGCUUCACAGAAGCUGCUCAAACUUGGAAACAGGCUGAGUCGAUUCUCUGGGUUUAUAGAACUGUUGAAGAAGAUGAGAGAGCUGAUGUCAUCAGUUAAAGGAAGGAGAAGACUGAUUGCAAAUUACCAGGAGAACUCUUGUUUAUUACCUGCCCUGAACAGCUGAAGCUGAUCCUGAAACUUUUCAGAAUGCCAUGAAUGGAGCAGAGGAGACACAAGUCCUUGUUUUUGUCCUUGUGGAUCUUAUAUGUUCCUAACCAUGUCCUGCAGGCUGAUUUUAUGCAAUUGACUUCAGUGGGAUUUAUGGCCAUGUAACACUGAAUAACAUGGCAGAUGUACUUUCAUUUGUAAAUCCAGAUACAUAUUGGGGCAAAUUGUAUUUCCUCCAUUUUAGAAACCAAGUAAGGAAAAUUAGAAGUGCAACCCUAAACAGUGUUACACCCUUGUCAGCCCACUGACUUCAAUGGAUUUAGAAGGGUGCAACUCUGUUUAGGAUUGCACAGUAAAUUACAGAAUAAAAGCACACUUAGUCCAGAAUUAAAACUUCUUUAUUCUAGAUUUAUUAUUGUCACCUAAUUGUAAGUAUUCCAGACUGAUCUACACUGAAUACUGAUUCUGUUCUCACCGUUAUUCAGGCUGCCAUGAGAGCAUCUGUUCGUUAUUUGUUAAUGUGAAUAACCCCCCCCAUAACUCAGCCUUGCAAAUAAGAUGUAACUAGCCCUCAAAAGGUAUCCUAAUAUAUAUCAAUGUGGUUUUUUGUAGAAUAAAAGAAAUGA